This 328-nucleotide unclassified non-coding RNA is filed under the name plant metagenome. RNAcentral describes it as "partial contains small subunit ribosomal RNA, internal transcribed spacer 1, and 5.8S ribosomal RNA". The record is from RNAcentral.
UUUCCGUAGGUGAACCUGCGGAAGGAUCAUUAAAUAGUACCACAGAUUACAUAUGCAAAUAUGACAAUCUACUACUAUAUACCAUUCCGAGUACUCUUUUUCCAUGUUGCUUCCGCAAGGCAGUCACUUCAAGUGGCCGUUUGCUCCGGAUCUCCCUUCUUGGAGAGCCGGCUGUGGGCGAGAUUUCCUUGCGAAAGGUCAAUUACAAAUCCAAUUAUGUUUUUAUUUUGUGUCUGAAUAGAUUUUUUUUUCUUUCUUUUUUUAAUUAAUAAAUACAAAAAAAAUAAAAUAAAAUACAAAACUUUCAACAACGGAUCUCUUGGUUCUC